RNAcentral lists this microRNA (24 nucleotides) under Gadus morhua (Atlantic cod). RNAcentral's name for it is "gmo-miR-11237-5p". Lineage: Eukaryota; Metazoa; Chordata; Actinopteri; Gadiformes; Gadidae. The record is from miRBase by way of RNAcentral.
UAACCACACUGCCGGUGUCCAGGA